AACUUUUAACAACGGAUCUCUUGGCUCUCGCAUCGAUGAAGAACGCAGCGAAAUGCGAUAAGUAAUGUGAAUUGCAGAAUUCAGUGAAUCAUCGAGUUUUUGAACGCGCCUUGCGCUCCCUGGUAUUCCGGGGAGCACGCCUGUUCGAGUGUCGUGAAAUUCUCAAACUGAGAUGCUUUUUUGUUUCUCGGCUUGGUGUUGGGCUUUGCAGUUCCCUUUGAUUGGGAUGGCCGGCCUCAAAAGCAUUAGCUGGCUUUUCAUGUGGCAUUGGUUCUAUUCGGCGUGAUAAUGAUCUGACCGCCGAGGACAUCUUUCGAGAUCGCCAAUUCUCAUUUGGGCUGCUUCUUAUCUUGGUCGAGCAGAUUCUGAAUCUGUUCCACUUUUCUACUUUUGACCUCGAAUCAGGUGGGACUACCCGCUGAACUUAAGCAUAUCAAUAAGCGGAGGCU
Molecule: unclassified non-coding RNA, 449 nt
Filed under: uncultured Clavulinaceae
Lineage: Eukaryota; Fungi; Basidiomycota; Agaricomycetes; Cantharellales; Hydnaceae
Description: sequence contains ITS2
Rfam family: 5.8S ribosomal RNA (bases 1-154)
Source: RNAcentral